AUUGAACGCUGGCGGCAUGCCUUACACACGCAAGUCGAACGGCAGCACGGGGCAACCUGGUGGCGAGUGGCGAACGGGUGAGUAAUGCAUCGGAACGUGCCAUUGAGUGGGGGAUAACGUAGCGAAAGUUGCGCUAAUACCGCAUAUUCUGUGAGCAGGAAAGCAGGGGACCGCAAGGCCUUGCGCUCUUUGAGCGGCCGAUGUCAGAUUAGCUAGUUGGUGAGGUAACGGCUUACCAAGGCGACGAUCUGUAGCGGGUCUGAGAGGAUGAUCCGCCACACUGGAACUGAGACACGGUCCAGACUCCUACGGGAGGCAGCAGUGGGGAAUUUUGGACAAUGGGCGCAAGCCUGAUCCAGCCAUGCCGCGUGAGUGAAGAAGGCCUGG
Molecule: ribosomal RNA, 387 nt
Filed under: uncultured bacterium
Lineage: Bacteria
Description: bacterial SSU rRNA
Rfam family: Bacterial small subunit ribosomal RNA
Source: RNAcentral